Molecule: ribosomal RNA, 301 nt
Filed under: uncultured fungus
Lineage: Eukaryota; Fungi
Description: SSU rRNA
Rfam family: Eukaryotic small subunit ribosomal RNA
Source: RNAcentral
AGCCAUGCAUGUCUAAGUAUAAGCAAUUAUACCGUGAAACUGCGAAUGGCUCAUUAAAUCAGUUAUCGUUUAUUUGAUAAUACCUUACUACUUGGAUAACCGUGGUAAUUCUAGAGCUAAUACAUGCUGAAAAUCCCGACUUCGGAAGGGAUGUGUUUAUUAGAUAAAAAACCAAUGCCCUUCGGGGCUCCUUGGUGAUUCAUGAUAACUUUACGGAUCGCAUAGCCUUGCGCUGGCGACGGUUCAUUCAAAUUUCUGCCCUAUCAACUUUCGAUGGUAAGGUAUUGGCUUACCAUGGUUU